GACGAACGCUGGCGGCGCGCCUAACACAUGCAAGUCGAACGAGCGAGAGAGAGCUUGCUUUCUCGAGCGAGUGGCGAACGGGUGAGUAACGCGUGAGGAACCUGCCUCAAAGAGGGGGACAACAGUUGGAAACGACUGCUAAUACCGCAUAAGCCCACGGGUCGGCAUCGACCAGAGGGAAAAGGAGCCAUCCGCUUUGAGAUGGGCGCGCGUCCGAUUAGCUAGUUGGUGAGGUAACGGCCCACCAAGGCAACGAUCGGUAGCCGGACUGAGAGGUUGAACGGCCACAUUGGGACUGAGACACGGCCCAGACUCCUACGGGAGGCAGCAGUGGGGAAUAUUGCACAAUGGGGGAAAGCCUGAUGCAGCGACGCCGCGUGGAGGAAGAAGGUCUUAGGAUUGUAAACUCCUGUUGUUGGGGAAGAUAAUGACGGUACCCAACAAGGAAGCGACGGCUAACUACGUG
Molecule: ribosomal RNA, 466 nt
Filed under: uncultured bacterium
Lineage: Bacteria
Description: partial 16S ribosomal RNA
Rfam family: Bacterial small subunit ribosomal RNA
Source: RNAcentral